GAUGAACGCUGGCGGCGUGCCUAAUACAUGCAAGUCGAGCGAACAGAUGAGGAUCUUGCUCCUCUGACGUUAGCGGCGGACGGGUGAGUAACACGUGGAUAACCUACCUAUAAGACUGAGAUAACUUCGGGAAACCGGAGCUAAUACCGGAUAAUAUAUUGAACCGCAUGGUUCAAUAGAGACAGACGGGUUUGCUGUCACUUAUAGAUGGAUUCGCGCCGCAUUAGCUAGUUGGUAAGGUAACGGCUUACCAAGGCAACGAUGCGUAGCCGACCUGAGAGGGUGAUCGGCCACACUGGAACUGAGACACGGUCCAGACUCCUACGGGAGGCAGCAGUAGGGAAUCUUCCGCAAUGGGCGAAAGCCUGACGGAGCAAGGCCGCGUGAGUGAUGAAGGUCUUCGGAUCGUAAAGCUCUGUUAUUAGGGAAGAACAAAUGUGUAAGUAACUAUGCACGUCUUGACGGUACCUAAUCAGAAAGCAACGGCUAACUACGUG
Molecule: ribosomal RNA, 497 nt
Filed under: uncultured bacterium
Lineage: Bacteria
Description: partial 16S ribosomal RNA
Rfam family: Bacterial small subunit ribosomal RNA
Source: RNAcentral